Long non-coding RNA from Oncorhynchus tshawytscha (Chinook salmon), 4904 nucleotides. The record is from Ensembl. Lineage: Eukaryota; Metazoa; Chordata; Actinopteri; Salmoniformes; Salmonidae.
UCCAAGUCCACCCUAGCCAAUCAUCAUUAGCAUUACAAAGCACACAAUGCAGACAAUGUAUUCUCAACCAAUAACUGUAAAUGUGGCAUUUUAGCAUCAUCAUUGUCUGCUUUAAAUUAGCACUGAGAACCAUCGCCCAGAUUGAAUACAUUCGAAUGCAUACUCGUUAUUGGACUGCAAAAUAGCCAAUUAAAUUCCUCCGUUGUGUGGGGUAAGUAAGCACAGACACACACUUAUGCAAACACAUGCACACACGCAAGCACACACACACACCCAUAACCCUGCUAGGAGUGAUUGUAACUUUGAAAACCUGGAUAACUGUCGCACAAUACUGUCAAAAGUCAUAAGUCAAAAUACUCUACAAAGAUGAAGCGUAAGCACAUGGCAUAUACGCUUGGGCUUCUCCUAUCUUUAAAUCUAUGAAUGUUAAUUUCAUUAUUCAUCAGCAUUCCUCUUUUCUACUUCCAUACGUUUGCUGUUCUAUUACUAUAGAUUCAGGCAUAACACAGAGGUCAAGGUGUAAUAACACAGAGGUAAAGCUGUUAUAACACAGAGGAAAAUGUGUUACAAUAAAUUAUACAUGUAAGAUAAAUGUGUUAUAACACAAAGGUAAAAGUGUUAUAACAUGGAGGUAAAGGUGAUAUAACAGAGAGAUAAAUGUGUUAUAACGCAUAGGAAAAUGUGUUAUAACACAUUGGUAAAGGUGUUAUAACAAAGAGGUAAAGGUGUUAUAACACAGAGCUAACUUUGUUAUGACACAGAGUUAAAGGUGUUAUAACACAGAGAUACAUGUGUUAUAACACAAAUGAAAAUAUUUUAUAACAGAGGUAAAGGUGUUAUAACACAGAGAUACAUGUGUUAUAACACAGAGGUUAAUGUUUUAUGACACAGAGGUAAAGGUGUUAUAACACAGAGGUCAAGGUGUAAUAACAGAGGUAAAGCUGUUAUAACACAGAUGAAAAUGUGUUACAACAGAGCUAAAUGUGUUAUAACACAGAGUUAAAAGUGUUAUAACAUGGAGGUAAAGGUGAUAUAACACAGAGAUAAAUGUGUUAUAACUCAUAGGAAAAGGUGUUAUAACAAAGAGGUAAAUGUGUUCUAACACAGGAAAAGGUGAUAUAACAGAGAAAAAGGUGUUAUAACACACAGAUAAAUUUGUUAUGACACAGAGUUAAAGGUGUUAUUACACAGAGAAAAAAAGAGAAAAUGUGUUAUAACAGAGAUGAAUGUGUUAUAAUACAGCGGUCAAGGUGUUAACACAGAGGUAAAGGUGUUAUAACACAGAUAUAAAUGUGUUAUAACACAAAGGAAAAUGUUUUAUAACAGAGGUUGGGUUGGCGCCCCCCUUGGGUUGUGCCGUGGCGGAGAUCUUUGUGGGCUAUACUCAGCCUUGUCUCAGGAUGGUAGGUUGGUGGUUGAAGAUAUCCCUCUAGUGGUGUGGGGGCUGUGCUUUGGCAAAGUGGGUGGGGUUAUAUCCUUCCUGUUUGGCCCUGUCCGGGGGUGUCCUCGGAUGGGGCCACAGUGUCUCCUAACCCCUCCUGUCUCAGCCUCCAGUAUUUAUGCUGCAGUAUUUAUGCUGCAGUAGUUUAUGUGUCGGGGGGCUAGGGUCAGUUUGUUAUAUCUGGAGUACUUCUCCUGUCCUAUUCGGUGUCCUGUGUGAAUUUAAGUGUGCUCUCUCUAAUUCUCUCUUUCUCUCUUUCUUUCUCUCUCUCGGAGGACCUGAGCCCUAGGACCAUGCCUCAUGACUACCUGACAUGAUGACUCCUUGCUGUCCCCAGUCCACCUGGCCGUGCUGCUGCUCCAGUUUCAACUGUUCUGCCUUAUUAUUAUUGGACCAUGCUGGUCAUUUAUGAACAUUUGAACAUCUUGGCCAUUUUCUGUUAUAAUCUCCACCCGGCACAGCCAGAAGAGGACUGGCCACCCCACAUAGCCUGGUUCCUCUCUAGGUUUCUUCCUAGGUUUUGGCCUUUCUAGGGAGUUUUUCCUAGCCACUGUGCUUCUACACCUGCAUUGCUUGCUGUUUGGGGUUUUAGGCUGGGUUUCUGUACAUCACUUUGAGAUAUCAGCUGAUGUACGAAGGGCUAUAUAAAUACAUUUGAUUUGAUUUGAUUAGGUAAAGGUGUUAUAACACAGAGGUAAAGGUGCUAUAACUCCUAAAUAAAGGUUCUAUAACUCAGAUGUAAAGAUGUAAUAACACAGAAGUCAAUGUGUUAUAACACAGAGGUAAAGGUGUUAUAACACAGAGGUAAAGGUGUUAUAACACAGAGGUUAAUGUUUUAUGACGCAGAGAUAAAUGUGUUAUAAGACAGAGUAAAAGGUUUUAGACGACAGAGAUAAAUGUGUUAUAACAUAGAGGAAAAUGUGAUAUAACACAGAGGGAAAGGUGUUAUAACAGUGAUAAAGGUGUUACAACACAGAGGUACAUUUGUUAUAAUACAGAGAUAAAUGUGUUAUAACACAUAGGUAAAAGUGCUAUAACUCCUAAAUAAAGGUUCUUUAACUCAGAGAUAAAGGUUCUAUAACUCAGAUGUAAAGGUGUUAUGACACAGAGGUAAAGGUGUUAUAACACAGAGGUAAAGGUGUUAUAACACAGAGGUAUAGAACAACAGUAAUGGUGGAACAUGAACCGAUAAACAAAGCCAGUGAUUUAUAUGCUCUUUGAGUUUAGUCCCCCUCAACUUCUCUGUUCUCUCCUCAGGAUGAAGAAGAAUAAAGCCUGUUUUGCAGCUUUACCGCCACGUUAAUCAUCUCUUGUUGAAACAUUUAAAUACACCCACAUUACAGUUGAAACACAACACCAGUCGAAGCGAAUACCUUUGUACCAGUAUACCACAGAAUCUGUCAUGACAGUUUCAAGCGCAAUACGUGGAAUGUAGUUUGUUAACCAAACCCACCCUUUUGGGAAUUUACAAGUCUCUUGUUUUUCAGACGAGACCACUGUCAUUGCCCUGAAUGCCACCAUAUGACAAAGUUUGGCAAGAGAGUUUGACAGUUAUGAAUAAGACAUAUAAUUGGCAGCCUUUUAGCAGCCUGAAAGCUGUGGGGUUAAGACAGUUUGUCUUUUUAACCCGAGGCUUAGCAUGGAUAAAGUGAUAACAUAAGCCUGGCUGGAGAGAUAAAGUAGAACAGUAGACCUCUUGGUUGGACACUUCCCAUUUGCUGAUGUUUUGAUCAUGGCUCCUGCACUCUGUUGAGGUAAACUAGACAUCUACUGUUGGGUCUCAGGUCAAUGACCUAUAAGCAAUGGUACUUUUCUGAUCGUCUAAUUCUAAAUGUACAGUGUAUAAAAUCUUUAGAUAUGCUGUACCUCAAAUUGGUUCAUUUCAAAAAGAGAGUAUGACGAAUUUGAGAGGAUCCGAGCAUGGCUGGGGAGAUUUGGACAGUCCAGUCUUUCUUAAUCCACAGAGAAGAUCACUGUUAUAAACCCUGCAUAAAAUCAGGAGACAAUGCUAGGUUGUUUUCUGUGUUGGCUUGAUUUUCCCUUUUUUUCAAGUCAAACUGAAGACCAGAGAGCAGCCAGCUAGUAAAGCCUCCCCUUCCCCAGCCCAGGCCCCUCAAAACAAGCCUCUUUCUGUUGGGAAUCUCCAUGGAAACCAAGCAACUAACUUGAGGAGGGAUAUAAAACCUGCUCUUUGAGGGACUGAAGGAACACCUGCCACCUCUACAGAUGGGGGUCAAAAUAGACUGACACACUGCCACCUCAUAAUGAACAGAGGGUUGUGUAACAUUUAAAUGAGUCCCCGUCCCGAACAUCUGCUCAUCGUCAAUUACUUAUUCACUGAUAACUCCUAUUUUAUCUGUUAAAACAGACCCAAUCUUUACUGGAAAUCACUUGAUGCAAUAGUGUAGUCAUUUAUGAGUAUUGGUUCAGAUUGCAGAUUGGUUAAAAUGACAGUAAUAACUGAUAUGGACUGUUCAUCAUUCUAAGAUUGAAGAUGUUAGGUGCGUAAUUGAUUUGGGAAUCUGCAUCACAUCUUGAAGUCCGAGAGCUCUGAAGGUUUUGAAAAUAAGAUAUUUGGUUGUGUGGCCGUUAGUUUGUACAUAACAUGGGUUCCAUUGAAAUCCAGCAACUGCAUGUUUAUGGAAGCGACACCACACUAUCCCCUGGCUGUUACUGUCAAAGCAAAAAGCUGCUGUUGGACAUACAUAGCCUGAACAACCUUAAUUAACACCUGCAGAAUAGCCCCGCGGUUGUUAUUUUACUGCUGCUCUUUCAUUGUUACUGUUUUUUAAUUGGUUAAGGGCUUGUCAGUAAGCAUUUCACUGUGAUGUCUACACCUGUUGUAUUCGGUGUAUGUGACAAAUAACAUCUGAUUUGAGAACCACAACAUAAAUAAAAGAAAAGUACUGUUAACCACACCAACAUUACUGGGAUUGUUAGCCACUCCGUCUUUUUGUAACCUUGCUUUUUAGGGCUAAUUGCCCUGACUUUCCAGAGUUCAGGGGUCAAACAGUUUGUCAACAAGCAUUAGGGCAGAAAUUCAAUCAACUGUUCAGCUUUUGCGAUUCAAAGGAAUCUCCUUCAAGUGUUACAAUGACUAUAAACAAAUCUUGUCCACCACCACUAUCACUAUCAAUACAGUGAGUCCCUCACAUUUCACCUAUUGUAUUUCCGCUUACCCUCACCCAUUCACACCCCAAACAUCAAAGGCCCUAUCAACAAGAACAAGUGGCAUGCAGGGGUCAUCCAUCCAGCCACCCAGCCUCAUUUUAGCCUACACUGCCGGAGGCAAUAUGCUCUGGGAUGCAUCCCAAAUGCUACCCUAUUCCCUUUAAAGUGCACUAUAUUAAUUUCACCAGGGGCCAAAGGGAUCUAUAUAGAGCAUAGGGUACCAGUCUUCCAUGUUCCUCCCCAGCCCUCCCCACUCCUCACAACUCCAUUCAUGUGUGAAAGUGACGGCUGC